CGGGAGGGGGACCCUGAGGGUGGGGGCACCCCCAGGGCACUAUAGUGCCAGGAAAACGAGAAUGUUUUCCUGGCACUAUAGUGGUCCUUUAAGCGUACCAAACUAUGUUGUAUGUAAAACUAGCCUUGAAUGUCUACCACUAACCAUAAAUUGCUGAUGUCUCAUAGCUGUUAAACGUUACUUAUUCUAUUGCAUUUAAUCUUGACACAAAUAUUGUUUAACCAAGCCUGAAUUCAACACACAAUGAACUCUCUUCAUAUAAGAAUGUUCAAUCU
Molecule: non-coding RNA, 275 nt
Organism: Pelobates cultripes (western spadefoot toad)
Lineage: Eukaryota; Metazoa; Chordata; Amphibia; Anura; Pelobatidae
Source: the annotation of a GenBank genome assembly